UCGGGAGGGCCAGGAGUAGGGAAUCUUCCGCAAUGGACGAAAGUCUGACGGAGCAACGCCGCGUGAGUGAUGAAGGUUUUCGGAUCGUAAAGCUCUGUUGUUAGGGAAGAACAAGUACCGUUCGAAUAGGGCGGUACCUUGACGGUACCUAACCAGAAAGCCACGGCUAACUACGUGCCAGCAGCCGCGGUAAUACGUAGGUGGCAAGCGUUGUCCGGAAUUAUUGGGCGUAAAGGGCUCGCAGGCGGUUUCUUAAGUCUGAUGUGAAAGCCCCCGGCUCAACCGGGGAGGGUCAUUGGAAACUGGGGAACUUGAGUGCAGAAGAGGAGAGUGGAAUUCCACGUGUAGCGGUGAAAUGCGUAGAGAUGUGGAGGAACACCAGUGGCGAAGGCGACUCUCUGGUCUGUAACUGACGCUGAGGAGCGAAAGCGUGGGGAGCGAACAGGAUUAGAUACCCUGGUAGUCCACGCCGUAAACGAUGAGUGCUAAGUGAUAGGGGUUCCGCCCAUUACGACGACGGGGGA
This 524-nucleotide ribosomal RNA is filed under the name Bacillus subtilis. RNAcentral describes it as "bacterial SSU rRNA". It matches the Rfam family "Bacterial small subunit ribosomal RNA", at positions 339 to 855 of the family's 1533-position model. Lineage: Bacteria; Bacillati; Bacillota; Bacilli; Caryophanales; Bacillaceae. The record is from RNAcentral.